GGGCCUCCGAGCAGCUAUGGGUGGGGAAAAUUACCUGAAAAUGUUUCUCCCCGGGUCCGUAGAGGAGUAAUUAGCUGCUAAGUAUAUGGAAAUUGAAGGGGACAGGAUUAGGACUAGCAGCGAGUUAACAACUUUCAAAUUAUCCUCAUUUUGAUAUUUUGUAACUUACUUCCAGCAGAAUUUCUCAGCAUUUUUUGUCUCCAAAAAAGAGAACUGAUCCAUUCUCUCAGAUCCAAAAAUAUGGACAUAAAAGGUUUUUAAUGAAAACUGAAAAUUGUUUAUAGAAGUUGCUCAGUUUGCAGAGUCUGCUCCAUAAUUGUAUUAAAAUUUGUUGGAAUAAUAAUAAUUUAUAACUAAGAAGAGGAAAGAAGGAAAGGUGGCAAUAUUUCUCAUUGUUAACAGGGCAGAAGGUCUCCAGAAACCAGCUGAGAUGAGCAGAUGUAGCUGUGGGGAGCUGACAAACCAGCGAGCCCUGCAGACGCCCCUGCUGCAGCCACGCCGUGCUGUCCUUAGCGAGGCUGCACCAUGCAAGGGCAUCUCAGUGAAGAUUUCAAAGCACACAUCCACGAGAAACUAGCCAGAUCUGAAGGUACAUCGUAGUCAGAACUUUGUGGAAGAGCAGAAAACAACACGCUAGCCAGCACAACUAACCUGUCUCAGCAGCUCCACUGUGUUUGUCAAGACCAGAGGGAGGGAGCUGGAGCCUUUCACCAGCUGGAGCGAUUCCAGGCAGCAGCCACAGCUCCUGAAUGCAGCCCUUUCAAACUCCCACUUUGUGCAAACUGAGCGAAGCACACGCAUGAGGAGUUUCGGGCUCUUUGUAUGGCCGUGAAUGGGGCGGCACCUCCAGAGCCUGCUGAAGGACCAUCUGGAGAGUGCCCCGAGCCAGCCGUGUGCGUGAUGUUGGCAAAAAGCAGUUGUUUGUUCUCCUAGGAAACGAUCCAUCUGAAAAUGUUUCAAAUACCAGGACAAUAUAACCGUAGCAACCCACAGCAUGUGGCACAAGCAAAGGCAGGGGUGUGCUUUUUGCACUGACAGGAUGAUGAAACAGCAGCCUGAGCCAGCUGGGUCCCACCCCUCCCUGUUUCCUCCAGAUCUUAUCCCUCUCCACAAGCACUGCAGCCCAGGCAGCUGCGCGAUGAGCCACUGAGCUGGGCCAGACCAAGUCAAUCCUGCAGCAAAGGGAUGAGCCUUUGAGCCCAGACGGGCUCCCUGAGCAGGGUCAGCUUGCAGUCACAGGGCUGCCAGUGCCAGCCCAGUGUGGCACCCAGCAGGGGCUGAAGGCAGCUCCUUCUGACUCUGCGAGACUCUGCCCUUGCCUGUUCACACUGAGGAAUGACGGGUUUGUCUUCACAAACAAGCUGUGGGUCUGCUGGCAGAUAAAACUAGCACUGAGAGAUAAAAAAACAAUGGGAAGGAUUCCACUGAUUGAUGAAUGGGAAAAGAUAUUUGCCUUUACAAAAACGCUGUAGGUUUGCUGAUAAAUGAAAUUGGAUAUUGAAAGAUUAAAGAAACAAUGGGGAAAGACCCUAAAUUCCAUAAGAAUAAUAAAAAAGGAGGAUUAAAAAGAGGGCAAUCUUUGGUAUCAGGUGUUCUGGGAAGUCUGUACAUCUCAAGUGCCUCAGCUAAUGGGGAAAGAGAAAAGGGAAAUGCAGCCAGGAAAUUAGGAUAGAAAGGAAGGCUGUGUCCUCCAAAAAUCUGAGACACCCCAGGGGAAUGCCCCAUGGUGUCUCCCUUUAUUCAAAUAAAGUAAAAGAACUCCUCUCCUUAUGUCUCCCUUUUGGACAUAAACCUCUGAUGUUUGUGCAUUAAUUUUCCUGACAACACCAAGAGCCUAAUGUCAUGCACCUGAGCCUAGCAAACAAGGCCCUUUGCCCACUCUGCACUUGCAGCACAUCUUGGUCUUUCCAGUGCUUUGGAAAGCUCCAUGUUCCCAGCAGAGCAGGAUUACAGCCUGGAUCUAUCCACACACAUCAAUUCUUGUUACAAAGCACAAGUGCUCAGGUACCGUUUGGCAUGUGUUUUGAUUUGCCACCAAAGUGGGAAAGCAUCACACACUUGUUAUUAUCUCUAUUUGAAAUAAAGACUGUAACAUCAUUUUGCAAAUAU
Passer domesticus (house sparrow) is the source of this 2109-nucleotide long non-coding RNA. RefSeq lists it as uncharacterized. Lineage: Eukaryota; Metazoa; Chordata; Aves; Passeriformes; Passeridae. The record is from RefSeq and is a predicted model, not a curated record. The transcript is spliced from 2 exons.